UCCUCUGUCAAGGGUAUACGAGUAGCUGCGCUCCUCUGCUAGAACCUCCAAACAAGCUCUCAAGGUCCAUUUUUUGUAAUUUGUAUUAAAAC
Molecule: small RNA, 92 nt
Filed under: Fukomys damarensis (Damara mole-rat)
Lineage: Eukaryota; Metazoa; Chordata; Mammalia; Rodentia; Bathyergidae
Description: 7SK RNA (ENSFDAG00000002935.1)
Rfam family: 7SK RNA
About the family: 7SK was discovered as an abundant small nuclear RNA in the mid-70s but a possible function has only recently been suggested. Two independent studies have found that 7SK RNA binds the CDK9/cyclin T complex (known as elongation factor P-TEFb). P-TEFb activates transcription by phosphorylating the C-terminal domain of RNA polymerase II.
Source: RNAcentral